UUUCCGUAGGUGAACCUGCGGAAGGAUCAUCACAAAAACAACAAAACAGUACUUUAGUGUAUUGCUUUUCGUUAUUUUCCCCUUGAAAUUAAUUGAUUGUAACCCAAUCGACAAAAAAUAGGGUUCACACCCUUUUUUAAUUGACUGGGUCCACUUGCUUCUCCUCCCGUCGAAACCGUUGAAUUUCGCCGUCAAAAAGUGAAAAUCGAUGGAGUCGUUGGGUAGAGACAGCGGGUCACCUUGGUUGGAUUUAUUCAGCCGCACGGUGCCCGCAAAAAGCAUAUAUCCAAGCAAAAAAAUCUGAGACAAUCUGUUGUUUAAAUUAAAAAACAACUUUUAACAAUGGAUCUCUUGGUUCUU
This 360-nucleotide unclassified non-coding RNA is filed under the name plant metagenome. RNAcentral's name for it is "partial contains small subunit ribosomal RNA, internal transcribed spacer 1, and 5.8S ribosomal RNA". The record is from RNAcentral.